Molecule: long non-coding RNA, 156 nt
Filed under: Cotesia glomerata
Lineage: Eukaryota; Metazoa; Arthropoda; Insecta; Hymenoptera; Braconidae
Description: uncharacterized LOC123269481, transcript variant X1
Source: RNAcentral
AAAAUCGACGAUUUUCCAGAAAUCACUGUAUAAACACGGCUUGCACAAAUUCUAAUCGUUAUAUUCGAAGAAUUACAGAUUAUUUUAGAUUCAUUGCGUUUGGACCGAAAAUCGACGAUUUUGCGAGUAAGGGUACUUCCUUAAGAAAUUACUGUA